This 793-nucleotide ribosomal RNA is filed under the name uncultured Methanotrichaceae archaeon. RNAcentral describes it as "bacterial SSU rRNA". It matches the Rfam family "Archaeal small subunit ribosomal RNA", at positions 85 to 879 of the family's 1478-position model. The record is from RNAcentral. Lineage: Archaea; Methanobacteriati; Methanobacteriota; Methanomicrobia; Methanotrichales; Methanotrichaceae.
ACGGCUCAGUAACACGUGGAUAACCUACCCUUAGGACAGGGAUAAACCCGGGAAACUGGGUAUAAUACCCGAUAGAUCUCGAAUGCUGGAAUGCAUCGAGAUCGAAAGCUCCGGCGCCUAAGGAUGGAUCUGCGGCCUAUCAGGUAGUAGUGGGUGUAGCGUACCUACUAGCCUACGACGGGUACGGGUUGUGAGAGCAAGAGCCCGGAGAUGGAUUCUGAGACACGAAUCCAGGCCCUACGGGGUGCAGCAGGCGCGAAAACUUUACAAUGCCGGCAACGGCGAUAAGGGGACCUCGAGUGCCAGGUUACAAAUCUGGCUGUCGAGAUGCCUAAAAAGCAUUUCAUAGCAAGGGCCGGGCAAGACCGGUGCCAGCCGCCGCGGUAACACCGGCGGCUCGAGUGGUAACCGUUAUUAUUGGGUCUAAAGGGUCUGUAGCCGGCCGGAUAAGUCUCUUGGGAAAUCUGGCAGCUUAACUGUCAGGCUUUCAGGAGAUACUGUCUGGCUCGAGGCCGGGAGAGGUGAGAGGUACUUCAGGGGUAGGGGUGAAAUCUUGUAAUCCUUGAAGGACCACCAGUGGCGAAGGCGUCUCACCAGAACGGACCUGACGGCAAGGGACGAAAGCUAGGGGCACGAACCGGAUUAGAUACCCGGGUAGUCCUAGCCGUAAACGAUACUCGCUAGGUGUCGGCCGCGGUGCGACCGUUGUCGGUGCCGUAGGGAAGCCGUGAAGCGAGCCACCUGGGAAGUACGGCCGCAAGGCUGAAACUUAAAGGAAUUGGCGGGGGAGCAC